UACGGAGGGUGCAAGCGUUACUCGGAAUCACUGGGCGUAAAGCGCAUGCAGGCGGUCUAAUAAGUUGGAAGUGAAAGCCUAUGGCUCAACCAUAGAACUGCUUCCAAAACUGUUAGACUAGAGUCUGGGAGGGGAAGAUGGAAUUAGUAGUGUAGGGGUAAAAUCCGUAGAGAUUACUAGGAAUACCAAAAGCGAAGGCGAUCUUCUGGAACAGUACUGACGCUGAGAUGCGAAAGCGUGGGGAGCAAACAGGAUUAGAUACCCUGGUAGUCCACGCAGUAAACGAUGAAUGUUAGUCGUUGGUGUCCUAGAGACAUCAGUGAUGCAGUUAACACAUUAAACAUUCCGCCUGGGGAGUACGGUCGCAAGAUUAAAACUCAAAGGAAUAGACGGGGACCCGCACAAGUGGUGGAGCAUGUGGUUUAAUUCGAAGAUACGCGAAGAACCUUACCUAGCCUUGACAUAUUUAAGAACUCAGUAGAGAUACAGAGGUGCCUUCGGGAGCUUUAAUACAGGUGCUGCACGGCUGUCGUCAGCUCGUGUCGUGAGAUGUUGGGUUAAGUCCCGCAACGAGCGCAACCCUCGUCACUAGUUACUAACGAUUCGGUCGAGGACUCUAGUGAGACUGCCUUCGUAAGGAGGAGGAAGGUGAGGACGACGUCAAGUCAUCAUGGCCCUUACGGCUAGGGCAACACACGUGCUACAAUGGUUAGGACAAUGAGAAGCAAUAUCGCGAGGUGGAGCAAAUCUAUAAACCUAAUCUCAGUUCGGAUUGUAGUCUGCAACUCGACUACAUGAAGCUGGAAUCACUAGUAAUCGUAGAUCAGCUAUGCUACGGUGAAUACGUUCCCGGGUC
RNAcentral lists this ribosomal RNA (856 nucleotides) under uncultured bacterium. Its description in RNAcentral is "bacterial SSU rRNA". It matches the Rfam family "Bacterial small subunit ribosomal RNA", at positions 524 to 1380 of the family's 1533-position model. The record is from RNAcentral.